Molecule: long non-coding RNA, 539 nt
Filed under: Gouania willdenowi (blunt-snouted clingfish)
Lineage: Eukaryota; Metazoa; Chordata; Actinopteri; Blenniiformes; Gobiesocidae
Description: lncRNA (ENSGWIG00000003550.1)
Source: RNAcentral
AUGGAGGAGGAGGAUGAAGAUGGAGGACAGGAGCACCAGUAUCCACAGCAUCCUGAGGAGGAAACAUCAACAGAGGACAGAGACUUCUAUUCACCAAAACAAUACAGGAGCACCAGCAUCCACAGCAUCCUGAGGAGGAAACAUUACCAGAGGACAGAAAGACUUCUAUUCACCAAAACAAUCAAUAGUUUUGCUUCAGAGGAGAAUCCGACAGUUCCAGAUGUUCGUCACCAGCACUGCAGUGUUUACACAGACUGCUUUGGUUUCAACUUUCUACAAAAAACUGUUGAAUUUUCAACUCACUUUCCAUCUGAAUCCAAGCUCAUCUUCAUCACUGGGAUGUUUCUUCAUCAGUUCUUCGUACAGACUGACACAGCUCACACAUGGAGAAGAUGAUUUAUGGAAUAUGACAUUUAGAUUUUUCCUUUUCUCAACAGUAUGAUGCAUACAUCCCAACCCAAAUUUCAUGCAUUUUUUUGGCUUAACUUGAGCCAAUUUCCAUCAAUAAAUUGCUAAUGUAUUAUUAUUGACUAUUACUA